RNAcentral lists this ribosomal RNA (253 nucleotides) under uncultured bacterium. Its description in RNAcentral is "partial 16S ribosomal RNA". It matches the Rfam family "Archaeal small subunit ribosomal RNA", at positions 474 to 727 of the family's 1478-position model. The record is from RNAcentral.
UACCAGCACCCCGAGUGGUCGGGACGAUUAUUGGGCCUAAAGCAUCCGUAGCCGGUUCUACAAGUCUUCCGUUAAAUCCACCUGCUUAACAGAUGGGCUGCGGAGGAUACUAUGGAGCUAGGAGGCGGGAGAGGCAAGCGGUACUUAGUGGGUAGGGGUAAAAUCCGUCGAUCCAUUGAAGACCACCAGUGGCGAAGGCGGCUUGCCAAUACGCGCUCGACGGUGAGGGAUGAAAGCUGGGGGAGCAAACCGG